AAAAGGUCAAACUGUGGGUUCCUAUGCCAACGUUUGACUGUCCGUCUUAUAUAAAUUUUUUAUAAUUAUUAUUUUCAUUGUUGUUAGAUGAUAAAACAUGAUUAAUACUUUAUGCGUGACUUAUCUUUUUAUUUUUUUCAUAUAUUUUUUUAAAUAAGACGGAUGGUCAAAAGUUGGACACGGAAAUCAGGGUUUGUCUUUUU
This is a non-coding RNA of Oryza glumipatula, 203 nucleotides long. The record is from Rfam. Lineage: Eukaryota; Viridiplantae; Streptophyta; Magnoliopsida; Poales; Poaceae.